UCAUUCUUUUUGGAUGCUGACCCCUUAUCAGUAGGAGGAGAUUUUCUUGUGACACUUGAAUGGGUAGUACCAGAAGCUUGAUUCGAGAACCGAUUAUUGCGUCCCUUUGUCUUUUGUUGUUUCUCCACUUUAAGAGCAAGUUUGCAAACAUCUUGAUAAGUCCAGAAAGGUUGCAGAUUGACGACAUCACUGAUUUCCUCCUUUAGUCCAC
Molecule: long non-coding RNA, 211 nt
Filed under: Daucus carota (carrot)
Lineage: Eukaryota; Viridiplantae; Streptophyta; Magnoliopsida; Apiales; Apiaceae
Description: long non-coding RNA (DCAR_LNC005412)
Source: RNAcentral